AGCUGAAACACCGGUUCUCGUACGAUCACCGAAGUUAAGCAAUGUCGGGUCUUGUUAGUAUAUAGAUGGGUGACCGCGUGAGAAAAAACAGGCGUUGU
Molecule: non-coding RNA, 98 nt
Organism: Acanthosepion pharaonis
Lineage: Eukaryota; Metazoa; Mollusca; Cephalopoda; Sepiida; Sepiidae
Source: the annotation of a GenBank genome assembly